This 73-nucleotide transfer RNA is filed under the name Oryzias latipes (Japanese medaka). It matches the Rfam family "tRNA". Rfam says of the family: Transfer RNA (tRNA) molecules are approximately 80 nucleotides in length. Lineage: Eukaryota; Metazoa; Chordata; Actinopteri; Beloniformes; Adrianichthyidae. The record is from Rfam by way of RNAcentral.
GCUCUGUGGCUUAGCUGGAUAUAGCGCCUGUCUCGUAAAUAGGAGAUCCUGGGUCCAAAUCCCUGACUAAGCA